Molecule: ribosomal RNA, 497 nt
Filed under: uncultured bacterium
Lineage: Bacteria
Description: partial 16S ribosomal RNA
Rfam family: Bacterial small subunit ribosomal RNA
Source: RNAcentral
GAUGAACGCUGGCGGCGUGCCUAAUACAUGCAAGUCGAGCGAACAGACGAGGAGCUUGCUCCUCUGACGUUAGCGGCGGACGGGUGAGUAACACGUGGAUAACCUACCUAUAAGACUGGGAUAACUUCGGGAAACCGGAGCUAAUACCGGAUAAUAUAUUGAACCGCAUGGUUCAAUAGUGAAAGACGGUUUUGCUGUCACUUAUAGAUGGAUCCGCGCCGGAUUAGCUAGUUGGUAAGGUAACAGCUUACCAAGGCAACGAUGCGUAGCCGAAGUGAGGGGGUGAUCGGCCACACUGGAGCUGAGACACGGUCCUGGCGCCUGCGGGAGGCAGCAGUAGGGAAUCUGCCGCAAUGGGCGAGAGCCUGACGGAGCAACGCCGCGUGAGAUAUGAAGGUCUUCGGAUCGUAAAACUCUGUUAUUAGGGAAGAACAAAUGUGUAAGUAACUAUGCACGUCUUGACGGUACCUAAUCAGAAAGCAACGGCUAACUACGUG